UGGGGAAUAUUGGGCAAUGGGGGCAACCCUGACCCAGCGACGCCGUGUGGGGGAAGACGGCCUUCGGGUUGUAAACCUCUUUUGUACGGGAAGAAGGAAGUGACGGUACUGUACGAAUAAGUCCCGGCUAACUACGUGCCAGCAGCCGCGGUAAUACGUAGGGGACGAGCGUUGUCCGGAAUUACUGGGCGUAAAGGGCGCGCAGGCUGUGCUGCAAGUCAGCUGUUAAAUGUUUGGGCUUAACCCGGGCAUGCGGUUGAGACUGCGGUGCUGGAGUGCUGUAGAGGCAAGUGGAAUUCCCAGUGUAGCGGUGAAAUGCGUAGAUAUUGGGAAGAACACCGGUGGCGAAGGCGACUUGCUGGGCAGCAACUGACGCUGAGGUGCGAAAGCCAGGGGAGCAAACGG
This 405-nucleotide ribosomal RNA is filed under the name uncultured bacterium. Its description in RNAcentral is "bacterial SSU rRNA". It matches the Rfam family "Bacterial small subunit ribosomal RNA", at positions 355 to 775 of the family's 1533-position model. The record is from RNAcentral.